AACGCACAUUGCGCCCUGUGGUAUUCCGCAGGGCAUGCCUGUUCGAGCGUCAUUUCAACCCUCAAGCUCUGCUUGGUGUUGGGCCCCGCCCCCGCGGCCGGCCCCAAAGUCAGUGGCGGCGCCGUCCGGCUCUAAGCGUAGUACAUCUCUCGCUCUAGGGUCCUGCGGUGGCCUGCCAGAACCCCAACUUCUAUGGUUGACCUCGGAUCAGGUAGGGAUACCCGCUGAACUUAA
This 234-nucleotide unclassified non-coding RNA is filed under the name uncultured fungus. RNAcentral describes it as "sequence contains ITS2". The stretch from base 1 to 52 matches the Rfam family "5.8S ribosomal RNA", at positions 103 to 154 of the family's 154-position model. Lineage: Eukaryota; Fungi. The record is from RNAcentral.